CGUACACUCCUGCGGGAGGCAGCAGUGGGAAUAUUGGACAAUGGGCGCAAGCCUGAUCCAGCCAUGCCGCGUGAGUGAUGAAGGCCCUAGGGUUGUAAAGCUCUUUCACCGGUGAAGAUAAUGACGGUAACCGGAGAAGAAGCCCCGGCUAACUUCGUGCCAGCAGCCGCGGUAAUACGAAGGGGGCUAGCGUUGUUCGGAUUUACUGGGCGUAAAGCGCACGUAGGCGGACUAUUAAGUCAGGGGUGAAAUCCCGGGGCUCAACCCCGGAACUGCCUUUGAUACUGGUAGUCUUGAGUUCGAGAGAGGUGAGUGGAAUUCCGAGUGUAGAGGUGAAAUUCGUAGAUAUUCGGAGGAACACCAGUGGCGAAGGCGGCUCACUGGCUCGAUACUGACGCUGAGGUGCGAAAGCGUGGGGAGCAAACAGGAUUAGAUACCCCAGUAGUCCCAUG
This 452-nucleotide ribosomal RNA is filed under the name uncultured organism. RNAcentral's name for it is "partial 16S ribosomal RNA". It matches the Rfam family "Bacterial small subunit ribosomal RNA", at positions 330 to 799 of the family's 1533-position model. The record is from RNAcentral.